GCACUGCUGAGGAGUCCCACAAUAGGACGAAACGGCCGUCCAGUAU
Non-coding RNA from Schistosoma mansoni, 46 nucleotides. Lineage: Eukaryota; Metazoa; Platyhelminthes; Trematoda; Strigeidida; Schistosomatidae. The record is from Rfam.